UACAGAGGGGGCGAGCGUUGUUCGGAAUUACUGGGCGUAAAGGGCGCGUAGGCGGCCCGCUAAGUCGAACGUGAAAUCCCCAGGCUCAACCUGGGAACUGCGUCCGAUACUGGCAGGCUUGAAUCCGGGAGAGGGAUGUGGAAUUCCAGGUGUAGCGGUGAGAUGCGUAGAUAUCUGGAGGAACACCGGUGGCGAAGGCGGCAUCCUGGACCGGUAUUGACGCUGAGGCGCGAAAGCGUGGGGAGCGAACAGG
Molecule: ribosomal RNA, 253 nt
Filed under: uncultured bacterium
Lineage: Bacteria
Description: partial 16S ribosomal RNA
Rfam family: Bacterial small subunit ribosomal RNA
Source: RNAcentral